UUUCCGUAGGUGAACUUGCGGAAGGAUCAUUAAAGAAUUGCCCCGUCUUCUCGAAGAUGGGUUCUAUUCCAACUCGUGUUUACAUACCUUUGUUGCUUUUGCGGGCCACCGCUUCGGAGUUGGCUCCGGCUGACAGCGUCCGCCAAAGGACCACAACUCUUUUGUUUAGUAAUGUCUGAGUACUAUAUAAUAGUUAAAACUUUCAACAACGGAUCUCUUGGUUCUG
This 226-nucleotide unclassified non-coding RNA is filed under the name plant metagenome. RNAcentral's name for it is "partial contains small subunit ribosomal RNA, internal transcribed spacer 1, and 5.8S ribosomal RNA". The record is from RNAcentral.